This 130-nucleotide ribosomal RNA is filed under the name Castor canadensis (American beaver). The record is from RNAcentral. Lineage: Eukaryota; Metazoa; Chordata; Mammalia; Rodentia; Castoridae.
GUCUACCACCAUACCACCCUGAAUACAGCAGAUCUCCAAUCUCGUUUGAUCUCUAAAGCUAAACAGGGUUGAGCCUGGUUAGUACUUGGAUAGGAGAAACUAAAAAUAUAUAUAGGAAAGCUUAUGGAUA